This 253-nucleotide ribosomal RNA is filed under the name uncultured bacterium. Its description in RNAcentral is "partial 16S ribosomal RNA". It matches the Rfam family "Bacterial small subunit ribosomal RNA", at positions 524 to 776 of the family's 1533-position model. The record is from RNAcentral.
UACGUAGGGUGCGAGCGUUGUCCGGAAUUAUUGGGCGUAAAGGGCUCGUAGGCGGUUUGUCGCGUCGGGAGUGAAAACUCAGGGCUUAACCCUGAGCCUGCUUCCGAUACGGGCAGACUAGAGGUAUGCAGGGGAGAAUGGAAUUCCUGGUGUAGCGGUGAAAUGCGCAGAUAUCGGGAGGAACACCGGUGGCGAAGGCGGUUCUCUGGGCCUGUACUGACGCUGAGGAGCGAAAGCGUGGGGAGCGAACAGG